AGAGUUUGAUCCUGGCUCAGGAUUAACGCUGGCGGUACGUCUAAUACAUGCAAGUCGAACGGAGCACUUGUGCUCAGUGGCGAACGGGUGAGUAACACGUAGGUAACCUGCCCUUAAGACGAGGAUAACCAUUGGAAACGAUGGCUAAUACUGGAUUGAAAGCAGACUCGGCAUCGAGACUGUUUAAAAGAUGCGAUUCGCAUCGCUUAAGGAGGGGCCUGCGGCGCAUUAGUUAGUUGGUAGGGUAAUGGCCUACCAAGACAAUGAUGCGUAGCUGGACUGAGAGGUUGAACAGCCACACUGGGACUGAGAACGGCCCAGACUCCUACGGGAGGCAGCAGUAGAGAAUCUUCGGCAAUGGGGGGAACCCUGACCGAGCGAUACCGCGUGAUUGAAGAAAUACUUCGGUAUGUAAAAAUCUUUUACAAAGGAUGAAUGACCUUAGGAGGAAAUGCCUAAGGAGUGACAGUACUUUAGGAAUAAGCCCCGGCUAACUAUGUGCCAGCAGCCGCGGUAAUACAUAGGGGGCAAGCGUUAUCCGGAAUUAUUGGGCGUAAAGGGUGCGUAGGCGGCUAGUUAAGUUCAUGGUCUAAAUUUAAGGCUCAACCUUAAAAUGCUUUGAAAACUGGCUAGCUUGAGAGAGGUAGAGGCAAGUGGAAUUCCAUGUGUAGCGGUAAAAUGCGUAAAUAUAUGGAGGAACACCAGUGGCGAAGGCGGCUUGCUGGGCCUUAUCUGACGCUGAUGCACGAAAGCGUGGGGAGCAAACAGGAUUAGAUACCCUGGUAGUCCACGCCGUAAACGAUG
RNAcentral lists this ribosomal RNA (804 nucleotides) under uncultured bacterium. RNAcentral's name for it is "bacterial SSU rRNA". It matches the Rfam family "Bacterial small subunit ribosomal RNA", at positions 8 to 811 of the family's 1533-position model. The record is from RNAcentral.